Molecule: ribosomal RNA, 301 nt
Filed under: uncultured bacterium
Lineage: Bacteria
Description: partial 16S ribosomal RNA
Rfam family: Bacterial small subunit ribosomal RNA
Source: RNAcentral
CAGUAGCCGCGGUAAUACGUAGGUCCCGAGCGUUGUCCGGAUUUAUUGGGCGUAAAGCGAGCGCAGGCGGUUAGAUAAGUCUGAAGUUAAAGGCUGUGGCUUAACCAUAGUACGCUUUGGAAACUGUUUAACUUGAGUGCAAGAGGGGAGAGUGGAAUUCCAUGUGUAGCGGUGAAAUGCGUAGAUAUAUGGAGGAACACCGGUGGCGAAAGCGGCUCUCUGGCUUGUAACUGACGCUGAGGCUCGAAAGCGUGGGGAGCAAACAGGAUUAGAGACCCCCGUAGUCCCUGUCUCUUAUACA